RNAcentral lists this ribosomal RNA (484 nucleotides) under uncultured bacterium. RNAcentral describes it as "partial 16S ribosomal RNA". It matches the Rfam family "Bacterial small subunit ribosomal RNA", at positions 29 to 523 of the family's 1533-position model. The record is from RNAcentral.
AGCGAACGCUGGCGGCGUGCUUAACACAUGCAAGUCAAACGAGAACGGGUUAUAGCUUGCUAUAAUUGUCAGCUAAGUGGCGCACGGGUGAGUAAUGUAUAGGUAAUAUGCCUCUUACUAAGGGAUAACAAAUGGAAACGUUUGCUAAUACCUUAUACUCCUUAUUAACAGAAGUUAAUAAGGGAAAGAUUUAUUGGUAAGAGAUUAGCCUGUAUUGUAUCAGUUAGUUGGUGGGGUAAUGGCUUACCAAGACUAUGACACAUAACUGGUUUGAGAGGAUGAUCAGUCACACUGGAACUGAGACACGGUCCAGACUCCUACGGGAGGCAGCAGUGGGGAAUAUUGCACAAUGGACGGAAGUCUGAUGCAGCAACGCCGCGUGGAGGAUGACACAUUUCGGUGCGUAAACUCCUUUUAUAUGAGAAGAUAAUGACGGUAUUAUAUGAAUAAGCACCGGCUAACUCCGUGCCAGCCGCCGCGGUAA